RNAcentral lists this ribosomal RNA (253 nucleotides) under uncultured prokaryote. Its description in RNAcentral is "partial 16S ribosomal RNA". It matches the Rfam family "Bacterial small subunit ribosomal RNA", at positions 524 to 776 of the family's 1533-position model. The record is from RNAcentral.
UACGUAGGGGGCGAGCGUUGUCCGGAUUUACUGGGCGUAAAGCGCGCGUAGGCGGGAGGUGAAGUCCGGUGGGAAAGCCCACGGCUCAACCGUGGAAGAACGCUGGAAACUCACCUUCUUGAGGGCGGCAGAGGGAAGUGGAAUUGCUGGUGUAGCGGUGAAAUGCGUAGAUAUCGGGAGGAACACCUGUGGCGAAAGCGGCUCACUGGACCACAACUGACGCUGAGGCGCGAAAGCUAGGGGAGCAAACAGG